Molecule: ribosomal RNA, 446 nt
Filed under: uncultured bacterium
Lineage: Bacteria
Description: bacterial SSU rRNA
Rfam family: Bacterial small subunit ribosomal RNA
Source: RNAcentral
CCAGACUCCUACGGGAGGCAGCAGUGGGGGAUAUUGCACAAUGGGGGAAACCCUGAUGCGGCGACGCCGCGUGAGUGAAGAAGUAUUUCGGUAUGUAAAGCUCUAUCAGCAGGGAAGAAAAUGACAGUACCUGACCAAGAAGCCCCGGCUAACUACGUGCCAGCAGCCGCGGUAAUACGUAGGGGGCAAGCGUUAUCCGGAUUUACUGGGUGUAAAGGGAGCGUAGACGGUUAUGUAAGUCUGGAGUGAAAGCCCGGGGCCCAACCCCGGGACUGCUCUUGGAACUGCAUGGCUGGAGUACAGGAGGGGCAGGCGGAAUUCCUAGUGUAGCGGUGAAAUGCGUAGAUAUUAGGAGGAACACCGGUGGCGAAGGCGGCCUGCUGGACUGUGACUGACGUUGAGGCCCGAAGGCGUGGGGAGCAAACAGGAUUAGAUACCCCAGUACU